This 576-nucleotide ribosomal RNA is filed under the name uncultured Enterococcus sp. Its description in RNAcentral is "bacterial SSU rRNA". It matches the Rfam family "Bacterial small subunit ribosomal RNA", at positions 68 to 619 of the family's 1533-position model. Lineage: Bacteria; Bacillati; Bacillota; Bacilli; Lactobacillales; Enterococcaceae. The record is from RNAcentral.
UUUUUCUUUCACCGGAGCUUGCUCCACCGAAAGAAAAGAGUGGCGAACGGGUGAGUAACACGUGGGUAACCUGCCCAUCAGAAGGGGAUAACACUUGGAAACAGGUGCUAAUACCGUAUAACACUAUUUUCCGCAUGGAAGAAAGUUGAAAGGCGCUUUUGCGUCACUGAUGGAUGGACCCGCGGUGCAUUAGCUAGUUGGUGAGGUAACGGCUCACCAAGGCAACGAUGCAUAGCCGACCUGAGAGGGUGAUCGGCCACACUGGGACUGAGACACGGCCCAGACUCCUACGGGAGGCAGCAGUAGGGAAUCUUCGGCAAUGGACGAAAGUCUGACCGAGCAACGCCGCGUGAGUGAAGAAGGUUUUCGGAUCGUAAAACUCUGUUGUUAGAGAAGAACAAGGAUGAGAGUAAAAUGUUCAUCCCUUGACGGUAUCUAACCAGAAAGCCACGGCUAACUACGUGCCAGCAGCCGCGGUAAUACGUAGGUGGCAAGCGUUGUCCGGAUUUAUUGGGCGUAAAGCGAGCGCAGGCGGUUUCUUAAGUCUGAUGUGAAAGCCCCCGGCUCAACCGGGGA